UACGUAGGUGGCAAGCGUUGUCCGGAUUUACUGGGCGUAAAGGCUGCGUAGGCGGAUGUUUAAGUGAGAUGUGAAAUACCCGAGCUCAACUUGGGUGCUGCAUUUCAAACUGGAUAUCUAGAGUGCAGGAGAGGAAAGCGGAAUUCCUAGUGUAGCGGUGAAAUGCGUAGAGAUUAGGAAGAACACCAGUGGCGAAGGCGGCUUUCUGGACUGUAACUGACGCUGAGGCAUGAAAGCGUGGGGAGCAAACAGG
This 253-nucleotide ribosomal RNA is filed under the name uncultured bacterium. RNAcentral describes it as "partial 16S ribosomal RNA". It matches the Rfam family "Bacterial small subunit ribosomal RNA", at positions 524 to 776 of the family's 1533-position model. The record is from RNAcentral.